This 416-nucleotide long non-coding RNA is filed under the name Triticum aestivum (bread wheat). RNAcentral describes it as "long non-coding RNA (TAES_LNC019886)". The stretch from base 236 to 350 matches the Rfam family "MIR1120/MIR1122 microRNA precursor family". The record is from RNAcentral. Lineage: Eukaryota; Viridiplantae; Streptophyta; Magnoliopsida; Poales; Poaceae.
GAUGGCCGCCUAGCUUGUUUUAUGUUUAAUUAUGACCCCUGCAGUUUGGCUAGCUAGCACUAUGCUAUCGUAUGCUGUGAUAUUGUGUGACAUGGUAUCAUGUUAUUAUAUCUCUACCUAUCUAUCUAUUCGAGUAGAUUAUGCAUGAAACUGUAGCUUGAAGUGAACAUGCUUGCAAGGUCACUGACGUGCAUUGUUGGGCUCCUGUCUAGUGCUUCUGGAUCGAAGUGAUUGCAAUCUACUCCCUCCGUUCCGAAUUACUCGUCGCAGAAAUGGAUGUAUCUAGAUGUAUUUUACUUCUAGAUACAUCCAUUUCUGCGACUAGUAAUUUGAAACGAAGGGAGUAAUGUCACUACUGGUUUCUUUAUAUGUGGUACAUGCUAUUGGUUUGAAGUGUUGACUUUGCCCAUCUAAAU